GAUGAACGCUGGCGGCGUGCCUAAUACAUGCAAGUCGAGCGAACGGACGAGAAGCUUGCUUCUCUGAUGUUAGCGGCGGACGGGUGAGUAACACGUGGAUAACCUACCUAUAAGACUGGGGUAACUUCGGGAAACCGGAGCUAAUACCGGAUAAUAUUUUGAACCGCAUGGUUCAAAAGUAAAAGACGGUCUUGCUGUCACUUAUAGAUGGAUCCGCGCUGCAUUAGCUAGUUGGUAAGGUAACGGCUUACCAAGGCAACGAUGCAUAGCCGACCUGAGAGGGUGAUCGGCCACACUGGAACUGAGACACGGUCCAGACUCCUACGGGAGGCAGCAGUAGGGAAUCUUCCGCAAUGGGCGAAAGCCUGACGGAGCAACGCCGCGUGAGUGAUGAAGGUCUUCGGAUCGUAAAACUCUGUUAUUAGGGAAGAACAUAUGUGUAAGUAAAUGUGCACAUCUUGACGGUACCUAAUCAGAAAGCCACGGCUAACUACGUG
RNAcentral lists this ribosomal RNA (497 nucleotides) under uncultured bacterium. RNAcentral's name for it is "partial 16S ribosomal RNA". It matches the Rfam family "Bacterial small subunit ribosomal RNA", at positions 28 to 507 of the family's 1533-position model. The record is from RNAcentral.